UACAGAGGUGGCAAGCGUUGUUCGGAAUUACUGGGCGUAAAGGGCGCGUAGGCGGUCUUUUAAGUUCCGUGUGAAAUCCCUCGGCUCAACUGGGGAACGGCACGGGAAACUGGGAGGCUUGAGUUCGGGAGAGGGAAGCGGAAUUCCGGGUGUAGCGGUGAAAUGCGUAGAGAUCCGGAGGAACCCCUGAGGCGAAGGCGGCGUCCUGGCGCACUUCUGACGUUCAGACACGACAGCAUGGGGAGCGAACGGG
Molecule: ribosomal RNA, 253 nt
Filed under: uncultured bacterium
Lineage: Bacteria
Description: partial 16S ribosomal RNA
Rfam family: Bacterial small subunit ribosomal RNA
Source: RNAcentral